Molecule: transfer RNA, 72 nt
Organism: Toxocara canis (dog roundworm)
Lineage: Eukaryota; Metazoa; Nematoda; Chromadorea; Rhabditida; Toxocaridae
Rfam family: tRNA
About the family: Transfer RNA (tRNA) molecules are approximately 80 nucleotides in length. Their secondary structure includes four short double-helical elements and three loops (D, anti-codon, and T loops).
Source: Rfam
GCGGCAGUAGCUCAGUGGUAGAGCCCCGGCUUCGCAUGCGGGGAGACCUGGGUUCGAUUCCCGGCUGCUUCC